CCUACGAGAGGCAGCAGUGAGGAAUAUUGGUCAAUGGGCGCGAGCCUGAACCAGCCAAGUAGCGUGAAGGAUGACUGCCCUACGGGUUGUAAACUUCUUUUAUAAAGGAAUAAAGUGAGGCACGUGUGCCUUUUUGUAUGUACUUUAUGAAUAAGGAUCGGCUAACUCCGUGCCAGCAGCCGCAGUAAUACGGAGGAUCCGAGCGUUAUCCGGAUUUAUUGGGGUUAAAGGGAGCGUAGAUGGGUUGUUAAGUCAGUGGUGAAAGUUUGCGGCUCAACCGUAAAAUUGCAAUUGAUACUGGCAGUCUUGAGUACAGUUGAGGUAGGCGGAAUUCGUGGUGUAGCGGUGAAAUGCUUAGAUAUCACGAAGAACUCCGAUUGCGAAGGCAGCUUACUAAACUGCCACUGACAUUGAUGCUCGAAAGUGUGGGUAUCAAACAGGAUUAGAUACCCCAGUAGUC
RNAcentral lists this ribosomal RNA (460 nucleotides) under uncultured bacterium. RNAcentral's name for it is "partial 16S ribosomal RNA". It matches the Rfam family "Bacterial small subunit ribosomal RNA", at positions 338 to 795 of the family's 1533-position model. The record is from RNAcentral.